This 253-nucleotide ribosomal RNA is filed under the name uncultured bacterium. RNAcentral's name for it is "partial 16S ribosomal RNA". It matches the Rfam family "Bacterial small subunit ribosomal RNA", at positions 524 to 776 of the family's 1533-position model. The record is from RNAcentral.
UACGAAGGGUGCGAGCGUUGUUCGGAAUCACUGGGCGUAAAGCGCACGUAGGCGGCGCGUUAAGUCAGGGGUGAAAUCCUGGAGCUCAACUCCAGAACUGCCUUUGAUACUGGCGUGCUCGAGUGUGGGAGAGGUUGGUGGAACUCCGAGUGUAGAGGUGAAAUUCGUAGAUAUUCGGAAGAACACCGGUGGCGAAGGCGGCCAACUGGCCCAUUACUGACGCUGAGGUGCGAAAGCGUGGGGAGCAAACAGG